RNAcentral lists this unclassified non-coding RNA (336 nucleotides) under soil metagenome. Its description in RNAcentral is "partial contains 5.8S ribosomal RNA, internal transcribed spacer 2, and large subunit ribosomal RNA". The stretch from base 1 to 120 matches the Rfam family "5.8S ribosomal RNA", at positions 35 to 154 of the family's 154-position model. The record is from RNAcentral.
GAUGAAGAACGUAGCGAAAUGCGAUAAGUAGUGUAAAUUGCAGAAUUCAGUGAAUCAUCGAAUCUUUGAACGCACAUUGCGCCCCUUGGUAUUCCAUGGGGCAUGCCUGUUCGAGCGUCAUUUGUACCUUCAAGCUUUGCUUGGUGUUGGGUGUUUGUCUCGCCUUUGCGUGUAGACUCGCCUUAAAAUAAUUGGCAGCCGGCGUAUUGAUUUCGGAGCGCAGUACAUCUCGCGCUUUGCACUCAUAACGACAGCGUCCAAAAGUACAUUUUACACUCUUGACCUCGGAUCAGGUAGGGAUACCCGCUGAACUUAAGCAUAUCAAUAAGCGGAGGA